This 482-nucleotide ribosomal RNA is filed under the name uncultured bacterium. Its description in RNAcentral is "partial 16S ribosomal RNA". It matches the Rfam family "Bacterial small subunit ribosomal RNA", at positions 30 to 507 of the family's 1533-position model. The record is from RNAcentral.
AUUGAACGCUGGCGGCAUGCCUUACACAUGCAAGUCGAACGGUAACAGGUCUUCGGAUGCUGACGAGUGGCGAACGGGUGAGUAAUACAUCGGAACGUGCCCGAUCGUGGGGGAUAACGGGGCGAAAGCUUUGCUAAUACCGCAUACGAUCUACGGAUGAAAGCAGGGGACCGCAAGGCCUUGCGCGGACGGAGCGGCCGAUGGCAGAUUAGGUAGUUGGUGGGAUAAAAGCUUACCAAGCCGACGAUCUGUAGCUGGUCUGAGAGGACGACCAGCCACACUGGGACUGAGACACGGCCCAGACUCCUACGGGAGGCAGCAGUGGGGAAUUUUGGACAAUGGGCGAAAGCCUGAUCCAGCCAUGCCGCGUGCAGGAUGAAGGCCUUCGGGUUGUAAACUGCUUUUGUACGGAACGAAAAGACUCUUUCUAAUAAAGAGGGUCCAUGACGGUACCGUAAGAAUAAGCACCGGCUAACUACGUG